GAUGUUUAUCCAAACCACUGGCCAACUCCAAAAAUCAACCACUGAUGAUUCAAAAUUCAAACUUCAAAACCUCUGACGAUUCAAUAUUAUGGCUCCAAAUUCAAAAUUCAAAAUUAUGGCUCCAGAUAUAUAACCUAUCUCUUCUUCAAUCAAUUACCCUCUCUAAUCAAUUUAUCUCUCAACUCUCUCUCUCUAAAAUUCAAUUUCACUCUCUCAAAUCCAGAUCACACCAUAAAAAGUAAAUCCGCCAUUGAUAUAUGCACUUUGAGCUCAACUACUCAUAUGCAGGUUUCGAUCACUAUCCAGGUAAGUUCUUCCUCAUGUGUCUCUUCUUCUGUAUUUAACUUUUUUGCUCUCUUUAAUCAAGCCUAUAAGGUGUUUGAUGAAAUGCUUCACUGGGUUAUCUUGAUAAUUUCUGUGAUUUGUUUAAUGGGUCUGCUUGAUUUGUCUAAUAGAUGUGCUAAUGGAUAGCAAACCACAACCAAACAAUCAUAUGCACAAAACAGAGAAUUACGAGUACAGUAUAGAGAUUAGUUUUUAUAAAGACUAAUUUUAAGGUCAAUUGUUGGAGUAUUGAGAUAAAUAGAAGAGUGCUAAUUUUGUUUUUUUUUUUUAAAUCGAUUCCUUCCUAAUCAUAUGUAAACAGCGCCAGUGAGUAUUCCAUUGUCGUUGUUCAAGCGAAUUCAACGCUCGAAGAUCAAGCUCAAGUGCUGACGUCACCUUCUGCGACUUACGUUGGUGUUUACGACUUAUCUCAAGCACCGAUUGAUUAACAAAGAAGAGGCCGGUUCUCAGAUCCGGUUGCAGAAAGAGAAUUAAUCGUUUGUGGAGCGUUUGGUAGGGUUUAUACGGGGAUGAAUCUGGAUUCGGUGGAGUUACAUGUUGUUAAACUGGUUUAAGGCUUAAUUUGAUGUCAAUUAUAUGAUUAUUUGUGAUUUAUGAUAAAUGUUAUUUGUGGCGUUAUUAUUUAAUUUUGUUGGUUUGAUGUUGACUUGUGAUUUGGAUUAUUGAUAUGCAGGUUUCGGUUGUGGUGAAUACGGCUUCGAAAGACAAAACACAGAUAAAUAAGAAAUCAGAGAUAAUACACUUUCGGAUCUCACUCCUUUGUUGAGAAGCCUAUGAUGAAGAAGACCCGAAUGGAAAUAUCACAAUCAAGUGGGACAUUAUUAGUUGGACUCCAGAUGGCUAUGUUAUGAUUCUAAAUUCAAUUUCUCAUGCUUGGUUCUAAGACCUAGACGAUGAUUGGUCGACCUAUAUUGCCUGAGGCUGCUGUUCAUGCAGUUGUAGAAGAACAUGUAAGAAUAAUUGGAACAUACACUUUCAUCGCUUAUACUAAUUAUAUAAAGCCGAAGCUUUAUAAUAAUAAAAUCACUUCAUAUUUGUAUGAGUAUAUAAGCAAUAAGAAUCAUAUUAUGGGACAUGCACAACUUUUACUUAUUUCCAAGGUAAGAAGUUGGAGCUGACGACUCGUCCUAUGAGUUCAUGUGCCAGACUCCCUCAAUUGAUUUCUUGGCGAAGUACCAGUUUGAUUUCAAUAUGUGUGUGAAAGAAGCUCAUGGAUGCUAUGAUUCAGAGAUCAAAGGUAAUCAAAUUUGAGACGCCAUGCUGAUGAAUGUUUUCCACCAUUGGACAUGUCAAGGCAGCCUCCAACACAGGAGGAGCUGGAAGCCAAGGAUUUGCAUGGAAAAGAAUGGCGUUUCAGGCACAUAUUUCGAGUUAAUUGGCAGCUUCUUGUAGAGUUUGAUUUCGUAUAAUUUGAUUUAUAUUUAGCAUGUAUAAUUAAGGUUGAAUCAACUAACUAUUGAACUUUGGAGCUAUUUUUUUG
Long non-coding RNA from Helianthus annuus (common sunflower), 1825 nucleotides. RefSeq lists it as uncharacterized. NCBI's taxonomy places the organism in Eukaryota, Viridiplantae, Streptophyta, Magnoliopsida, Asterales, Asteraceae. The record is from RefSeq and is a predicted model, not a curated record. The transcript has 7 exons.